GAUGAACGUUAGCGGGAGGCUUAAUACAUGCAAGUCGAGCGGUAAGUUUUUAUAGCAAUAUGAAGACCUAGAGCGGCGCACGGGUGAGUAACGCGUACACGACCUGGCCUAAACUGGGGGAUAGCCUUGGGAAACUGAGAGUAAUCCCGCAUGUGAUUAUGUUACUGAUGGUGAUAUAAUUAAAGCUUCGGCGGUUUAGGAUGGGUGUGCGUCUGAUUAGCUAGUUGGUAGUGUAACGGACUACCAAGGCGAUGAUCAGUAGGGGGCGUGAGAGCGUGACCCCCCACACGGGUACUGAGACACGGACCCGACUCCUACGGGAGGCAGCAGUAAGGAAUAUUGGUCAAUGCCCGGAAGGGUGAACCAGCCAUCCCGCGUGAAGGAUGAAGGGGCUCUGCCUUGUAAACUUCUUUUGUAUGGGGCGAAAAAAGGGGAUUUAUCCUCGACUGACGGUACCAUAAGAAUAAGCACCGGCUAACUCCGUGCCAGCAGCCGCGGUAAAGUAGUCGUG
This 511-nucleotide ribosomal RNA is filed under the name uncultured bacterium. RNAcentral's name for it is "bacterial SSU rRNA". It matches the Rfam family "Bacterial small subunit ribosomal RNA", at positions 28 to 534 of the family's 1533-position model. The record is from RNAcentral.